GACGAACGCUGGCGGCGUGCUUAACACAUGCAAGUCGAACGGAAAGGCCCUGCUUUUGUGGGGUGCUCGAGUGGCGAACGGGUGAGUAACACGUGAGUAACCUGCCCUUGACUUUGGGAUAACUUCAGGAAACUGGGGCUAAUACCGGAUAGGAGCUCCUGCUGCAUGGUGGGGGUUGGAAAGUUUCGGCGGUUGGGGAUGGACUCGCGGCUUAUCGGCUUGUUGGUGGGGUAGUGGCUUACCAAGGCUUUGACGGGUAGCCGGCCUGAGAGGGUGACCGGCCACAUUGGGACUGAGAUACGGCCCAGACUCCUACGGGAGGCAGCAGUGGGGAAUAUUGCACAAUGGGCGGAAGCCUGAUGCAGCAACGCCGCGUGCGGGAUGACGGCCUUCGGGUUGUAAACCGCUUUCGCCUGUGACAAAGCGUGAGUGACGGUAAUGGGUAAAGAAGCACCGGCUAACUACGUG
Molecule: ribosomal RNA, 468 nt
Filed under: uncultured bacterium
Lineage: Bacteria
Description: partial 16S ribosomal RNA
Rfam family: Bacterial small subunit ribosomal RNA
Source: RNAcentral